Molecule: ribosomal RNA, 1139 nt
Filed under: Latilactobacillus sakei
Lineage: Bacteria; Bacillati; Bacillota; Bacilli; Lactobacillales; Lactobacillaceae
Description: bacterial SSU rRNA
Rfam family: Bacterial small subunit ribosomal RNA
Source: RNAcentral
GGCCCAGACUCCUACGGAGGCAGCAGUAGGAAUCUUCCACAUGGACGAAAGUCUGAUGGAGCAACGCCGCGUGAGUGAAGAAGGUUUUCGGAUUGUAAAACUCUGUUGUUGGAGAAGAAUGUAUCUGAUAGUAACUGAUCAGGUAGUGACGGUAUCCAACCAGAAAGCCACGGCUAACUACGUGCCAGCAGCCGCGGUAAUACGUAGGUGGCAAGCGUUGUCCGGAUUUAUUGGGCGUAAAGCGAGCGCAGGCGGUUUCUUAAGUCUGAUGUGAAAGCCUUCGGCUCAACCGAAGAAGUGCAUCGGAAACUGGGAAACUUGAGUGCAGAAGAGGACAGUGGAACUCCAUGUGUAGCGGUGAAAUGCGUAGAUAUAUGGAAGAACACCAGUGGCGAAGGCGGCUGUCUGGUCUGUAACUGACGCUGAGGCUCGAAAGCAUGGGUAGCAAACAGGAUUAGAUACCCUGGUAGUCCAUGCCGUAAACGAUGAGUGCUAGGUGUUGGAGGGUUUCCGCCCUUCAGUGCCGCAGCUAACGCAUUAAGCACUCCGCCUGGGGAGUACGACCGCAAGGUUGAAACUCAAAGGAAUUGACGGGGGCCCGCACAAGCGGUGGAGCAUGUGGUUUAAUUCGAAGCAACGCGAAGAACCUUACCAGGUCUUGACAUCCUUUGACCACUCUAGAGAUAGAGCUUUCCCUUCGGGGACAAAGUGACAGGUGGUGCAUGGUUGUCGUCAGCUCGUGUCGUGAGAUGUUGGGUUAAGUCCCGCAACGAGCGCAACCCUUAUUACUAGUUGCCAGCAUUUAGUUGGGCACUCUAGUGAGACUGCCGGUGACAAACCGGAGGAAGGUGGGGACGACGUCAAAUCAUCAUGCCCCUUAUGACCUGGGCUACACACGUGCUACAAUGGAUGGUACAACGAGUUGCGAGACCGCGAGGUUUAGCUAAUCUCUUAAAACCAUUCUCAGUUCGGAUUGUAGGCUGCAACUCGCCUACAUGAAGCCGGAAUCGCUAGUAAUCGCGGAUCAGCAUGCCGCGGUGAAUACGUUCCCGGGCCUUGUACACACCGCCCGUCACACCAUGAGAGUUUGUAACACCCAAAGCCGGUGAGGUAACCCUUCGGGGAGCCAGCCGUCUAAG